Molecule: ribosomal RNA, 234 nt
Filed under: uncultured bacterium
Lineage: Bacteria
Description: partial 16S ribosomal RNA
Rfam family: Bacterial small subunit ribosomal RNA
Source: RNAcentral
UACGGAGGGUGCGAGCGUUGUCCGGAAUCACUGGGCGUAAAGGGCGCGUAGGCGGCCGUGUAAGUCACUUGUGAAAUCCCGGGGCUCAACUCCGGGGCCGCAGGUGAGACUGCGUGGCUAGAGCACGGUAGAGGCGAGUGGAAUUCCCGGUGUAGCGGUGGAAUGCGUAGAUAUCGGGAAGAACACCGGGUGGCGAAGGCGGCUCGCUGGGCCGUUGCUGACGCUGAGGCGGCG